RNAcentral lists this small RNA (2084 nucleotides) under Pan troglodytes (chimpanzee). RNAcentral's name for it is "retained intron". The record is from RNAcentral. Lineage: Eukaryota; Metazoa; Chordata; Mammalia; Primates; Hominidae.
GUCUGCUCAGGUUGCCAUAACAAAGUACCACAGACUCAGUGGCUUCGACAGUGGAGAUGUAAUUUCUCACAGUUCUGGAGGCUAGAAGUCCAAGAUCAAGGUGUCAGGAGGGUUCAUUUCUUCAAAGGCCUCUCUUCUUGGCUUGAAGAUGGUCUUCCCUCUAUAACUAUCUGUGUCUAAAUUUCCUCUUCUUAUAAAGACACCAGUCAUAUGAGACCCAGUACGGUAGCUCACACCUGAAAUCCCAGCGCUUUGGGAGGCCGAGAUAUGAAGCGGCCACUGAGCCCACCCCCACCGGCUGAGAAGGAGACCCCCAUAUCUGGAGCUGCUGAGUGCCUCCCUCGGCCCCCAGAACCACCUAAGCCCAAGAGAGAAAGAAAGCGGCCAUCGUACACGCUCUGUGAUGUCUGCAACAUCCAGCUGAACUCGGCGGCCCAGGCCCAGGUGCACUGUGGGGGGCGGGCCCACCAGAGGCGGCUUCGGCAGCUCAGCUUGGGGAAGAGCCCCUCAGGGCCAGGUCAGUGUGGAGGGACGCUGCUCCCACAAAUUUGGUUUGGGGAGUAUCUCUGUCUAGGCCCCUCUGAGGGGCUCUGGGUCUGUGGCCUCCCUCCAUGGGGGUCUUUGCGUCUGGGGUGCCCUCAAUGGGGUCUUAGGGUCUGAAGCCCCCCCUGAUGCCAGCAAGUUUUAUUCUGCAUCUGGACAACCCUUCUGUAGGACCUCUCGGAAUCUGUGGGUCCUUAGGCUGCCUCUUGGGUCUUUGUUUCUAGGGACUCUCCCUGUGGGAUCUUUUGGGAUCAGGACUCCUAAACAGCACUUCUCCAGCCUGGAGCCUCCUGGUAGCCACAGGCUUUCAGACAAGGGCCUCAUCUGCGGGGUGGGGGUCCCAGGCUCCAGCUCAGGUCUGUGGUCUCUGAAGGCCAAGGUCAGCAAGGUACACAGCACUCCAACCCAGGGACAAGGGGGAGGCCCCUCUUCCUUUGGACUCCCGGCCAGGAUUUCUGCUUCUCCCUAGCUGGGGUGACUUUGCAGAGGUUUGGCUAUGAGCUUGGAAGGGGCAGCUGGCUGCAAGGCAGAUUUCUGGGGGAAAUGGGUGAAUGCCUCCAUGAGGGUGAUUCUAGCUGACAGGUGCACAGGGGCCAUAGGGAAAGUAAGAAUCACCCAGGCUGCUGUUGGCAGAGCAAACAGAUUCACAUUCAGGCUCAGUGUGGGGAGGUGGGAAAGGCAGGAACUUACCCCUGGCUCCUGGGGGAGGCCAACAGAAACCUACCUUGCAGCCCAGGCUGGCAGUUUUGCCGGAGGCUACACUCUGACCUCAGACACCCUCUUGAGGGCUGUCUUCUCUUUUGGUGAUAUUCAUGGGGCACCCACUGUGUCCCCCACUCCACACACACAAUCCUGUAGGCCAGAGACAAGUAAGAUCCAAUCUCUCUGCUUACCACCCUCCCCAAGAUUGAGUGGGUCUUUUGGGUGGAGACACAUGUGAAAAGAGAUAAGGGUUGUGGUUGCCACAUGGGACAUACCCUCAGGGCACAAAGGCAAAGCUGCAGUCCCUGGGGGCAGCAGGAAAGUCUCCUGAAGGAAGAGGGGUCUGAGCCUCGGAACAUGGAUGAGGGGAGUAGGGGCAUUACAGGCAGAGGUCACGGCAUAAGCAAAGGCCAGGGUGCUCUGGUGACUGGGACCAGCUCCUCCCCACCCAAUUAUUUCAGGCUGGACACCAAAAGCAUGACUCUGAGCAAGAGAGUAUCUGACUGAUGGGUGUUUCUGGAGCAUAUGUGUCUGUCUGGAUUCGAAAGUCACUCAUUGGCUGGGCAUGGUGGCUCAUGCCUGUAAUCUUAGCACUUUGGGAGGCUGAGGCAGGUGGGUCACUUAAGGCCAGGAGUUUGAGACCAGCCUGGCCAACAUGGCAAAACCCCAUUUCUACUAAAAAUGCAAAAAUUAGCCGGGUAUGGUGGCACACACCUGUAGUCCCAGCUACUUGGGAGGCUGAGGCAGACGAAUCACUUGAACCCAGGAGGUGGAGGUUGCAGUGAGCCGAGAUUGUGCCACUGCACUCCAGCCUGGGUGACAGAGUGAGACCCUGUCUC